Molecule: ribosomal RNA, 259 nt
Filed under: uncultured bacterium
Lineage: Bacteria
Description: partial 16S ribosomal RNA
Rfam family: Bacterial small subunit ribosomal RNA
Source: RNAcentral
GUCCACGCCGUAAACGAUGCUAACUGGAUUUUGUACGGAAAGUACGGAGAGUCUGAGGGAACCAUUAAGUUAGCCACCUGGGGAGUACGUUCGCAAGAAUGAACUCAAAGGAAUUGACGGGGUCCGCACAAGCGGUGGAGCAUGUGGUUUAAUUCGAUGAUACGCGAGGAACCUUACCUGGGCUCGAAUGGUAGAGGAAUAUGGGUGAAAGCUUAUAGCGUAGCAAUACGUCUCUAUCAAGGUGCUGCAUGGUUGUCGU